RNAcentral lists this ribosomal RNA (503 nucleotides) under uncultured bacterium. Its description in RNAcentral is "partial 16S ribosomal RNA". It matches the Rfam family "Bacterial small subunit ribosomal RNA", at positions 29 to 507 of the family's 1533-position model. The record is from RNAcentral.
AACGAACGCUGGCGGCGUGCCUAACACAUGCAAGUCGAACGAGAAAGGGGCUUCGGCUCCGAGUAAAGUGGCGCACGGGUGAGUAACACGUGGGUAACCUGCCUCUAAGAUUGGGAUAACUCGUCGAAAGAUGAGCUAAUACCGAAUAAGACCACAGUUCCCGCGGGAACAAGGGUCAAAGGUAGCCUCUGCUUGCAAGCUAUCACUUAGAGAUGGGCCUGCGCACCAUUAGCUAGUUGGUAGGGUAACGGCCUACCAAGGCAAAGAUGGUUAGCUGGUCUGAGAGGAUGAUCAGCCACACUGGAACUGAGACACGGUCCAGACUCCUACGGGAGGCAGCAGUGGGGAAUAUUGCGCAAGGGGCGAAAGCUUGACGCAGCAACGCCGCGUGAGUGAUGAAGGCCGUCGGGUCGUAAAGCUCUGUCGGGAGGAACGAAUGCUCCUGAGGUUAACAGCCUCGGGAGGUGACGGUACCUUCAAAGGAAGCACCGGCUAACUCUGUG